Molecule: non-coding RNA, 1004 nt
Filed under: Streptococcus pyogenes
Lineage: Bacteria; Bacillati; Bacillota; Bacilli; Lactobacillales; Streptococcaceae
Source: RNAcentral
ACGAUUUUGUUGUUUGACCACAACAUUAUUAAUCGUACGGUAGUUAUAGUCAUCACUAAAAAAGAUACGGGCUGGUGUUAAAAAGAAAAGCGUCACAAAAUCAGUAAUAAUAUUAAUGAUUUGUAUCAUGAUGACUUGGUUAGGUGUCUUGCGAAAACUAUAGGCUACACCAACAGCAAUGACAACAAGUAGCAUACAAGAAAAUAGAGCUAAACGCUCUUGGCGUAUCCGAAAUAAAUCUGCUUUAAGAUAGGAAAUCAUAAAAACCUCUUUCUAAAUUAAUGGUGAUGCUGCAUCUUUACCUAACAAAUCGAGGUAAUAAUGUUCAAAGCUCACUUGAUGAUGAUAAAUGUCAAAAAUCUCAACAGGCAGAUCUAGAACAAUUUUGAUAAGCUCCAUUACUGAUAAAGUUGGUUUUAUUAGUAGCAUCUGACCAUCAGUCUCAACUCUAAGCCCCAAUUCUAAAAGUCUAUUUUUUACCAGCUGAUCAUCGCUUGUAUGAAGGGCAAUUUGUACUUUUACUUGAGCUUUAAGCUCUGCUUUGUCCAUACUCUUAAUAACUUUGCCUUUAUGCAUAAUCACGUAACGAUCAACAACUAAGUCUAAUUCUGAUAAAAUAUGACUGGAAAUCAAAAUCGUAAUACCAUAGCAAUCUCUUAGGUUCAAAAUAAUCUGACGCAUUUCUUUGAUUCCUGCUGGAUCAAGACCAUUAAUGGGUUCAUCCAAGAUUAAAAAUUCUGGAAAAUCCAGUAUCGAAAGACCAAUAGCCAAACGUUGGCGCAUCCCUAAAGAACAAUCUUUCACCUUUUUCUUUUUGCUCACUUUUUCUAACCCAAUAAGUUCCAAAACCUCAUGUAUGCGCUCUUUUGCAUCAGCUAAUCUCAAUUGCAACGCUGCAUAGUAAAGAUUAUCAUGAGCUGUCAUAUUGGGAUAAAGUGUCGGUGACUCAAUAAUUGAUCCCAUUCGAUAGGGUUGUAACUGUUUGAUUUGCCCUGAAUCUUUUC